This 642-nucleotide ribosomal RNA is filed under the name Bacillus licheniformis. RNAcentral describes it as "bacterial SSU rRNA". It matches the Rfam family "Bacterial small subunit ribosomal RNA", at positions 55 to 678 of the family's 1533-position model. Lineage: Bacteria; Bacillati; Bacillota; Bacilli; Caryophanales; Bacillaceae. The record is from RNAcentral.
AUGCAAGUCGAGCGGACAGAUGGGAGCUUGCUCCCUGAUGUCAGCGGCGGACGGGUGAGUAACACGUGGGUAACCUGCCUGUAAGACUGGGAUAACUCCGGGAAACCGGGGCUAAUACCGGAUGCUUGAUUGAACCGCAUGGUUCAAUUAUAAAAGGUGGCUUUUAGCUACCACUUACAGAUGGACCCGCGGCGCAUUAGCUAGUUGGUGAGGUAACGGCUCACCAAGGCAACGAUGCGUAGCCGACCUGAGAGGGUGAUCGGCCACACUGGGACUGAGACACGGCCCAGACUCCUACGGGAGGCAGCAGUAGGGAAUCUUCCGCAAUGGACGAAAGUCUGACGGAGCAACGCCGCGUGAGUGAUGAAGGUUUUCGGAUCGUAAAACUCUGUUGUUAGGGAAGAACAAGUACCGUUCGAAUAGGGCGGUACCUUGACGGUACCUAACCAGAAAGCCACGGCUAACUACGUGCCAGCAGCCGCGGUAAUACGUAGGUGGCAAGCGUUGUCCGGAAUUAUUGGGCGUAAAGCGCGCGCAGGCGGUUUCUUAAGUCUGAUGUGAAAGCCCCCGGCUCAACCGGGGAGGGUCAUUGGAAACUGGGGAACUUGAGUGCAGAAGAGGAGAGUGGAAUUCCACGUGUAG